AUCAGGUAGGAACACCCGCUGAACUUAAGCAUAUCAAUAAGCGGAGGAAAAGAAAAUAACAAUGAUUCCCCUAGUAACUGCGAGUGAAGAGGGACAAGCUCAAAUUUUAAAUCUGUCGGGUUUUUCCUGACCGAGUUGUAAUUUGAAGAAGCGUUUUCUGCACUGUUUGAUCAGCCCAAGUCCUAUUGAAUGAGGCAUCAUGGAGGGUGAUAAUCCCGUCCGGUUGAUCAUUGUGCUCUACGAUACGCUUUCAAAGAGUCAAGUUGUUUGGGAUUGCAGCUUAAAAUGGGAGGUAAAUUUCUCCUAAGGCUAAAUAACGGCGAGAGACCGAUAGCGAACAAGUACCGUGAGGGAAAGAUGAAAAGAACUUUGAAAAGAGAGUUAAACAGUACGUGAAAUUGUUGAAAGGGAAACGAUUGAAGCCAGUCGUACUUUCGGGUAAUCAGCCUUUCGGGUGCAAUUCUGUGAGGUGUGAGGAGUUAAACGCCUUCAUGUUUUGCAUAUUCGUGCUCUUGGGUGUACUUGCCCGUGUGGUUGGUUAACAUCAAUUUUGGACGCCAUAAAAUGACUGGAGGAAUGUAGCUUCGAUCUCGUAUUGAAGUGUUAUAGCCUUCGGUAGAUGUGGUUUUCGAGAUUGAGGAUUGCAACGGAUACCCUUCGGGGCUACCUAUCUGAUCUCUGAUCGUUGCUCUGGUGUCGAAAGCUUGCUUACGGUUAUCAAAGUCGAUGGUCAAUAGGUUAGAAUAGGUUAAAUUCGUUAAGGAUGUUGACGUAAUGGCUUUAAACGACCCGUCUUGAAACACGGACCGAGGAGUCUAACAUAUAUGCGAGUGUU
RNAcentral lists this ribosomal RNA (835 nucleotides) under uncultured Glomeraceae. Its description in RNAcentral is "eukaryotic LSU rRNA". It matches the Rfam family "Eukaryotic large subunit ribosomal RNA", at positions 10 to 694 of the family's 3401-position model. The record is from RNAcentral. Lineage: Eukaryota; Fungi; Glomeromycota; Glomeromycetes; Glomerales; Glomeraceae.